ACGGGCAUAGCUCAACUGGUAGAGCGACGGUCUCCAAAACCGUAGGCUGUGGGUUCAAGUCCUACUGCCCGUGCAA
RNAcentral lists this transfer RNA (76 nucleotides) under Bacteroidota bacterium. RNAcentral's name for it is "Bacteroidetes bacterium (hydrothermal vent metagenome) tRNA-Trp". It matches the Rfam family "tRNA". From Rfam's summary of the family: Transfer RNA (tRNA) molecules are approximately 80 nucleotides in length. Lineage: Bacteria; Pseudomonadati; Bacteroidota. The record is from RNAcentral.